GCUAUCCUGUGGACCCGAGCUGUCAGUUGUACCCUCCCCUGCUUCGCGCGCAUGGCGGGCGGCCACAACCGAUGCGCCAAGAACCCCCGACUCCAGCUAGCCCAACCUCCCAUGCUCGGACCUAUAUGAAGAGAGGUAUCCCCUUGGUCGCGCCCAUCCGCACCGCACAAGACCAUCCAAACCCUUGCCGCAGGUGUGGGGGAGUUGUUGGCGCCGCCGCCCGGGGAGAACUCGCCCCAUCGCCGAUCUGUACGCGUAGUCGUGCCGUGGUGCGUCUCUAGCGCGUGGUGAAGUUGUUCAUAGACUCGGCAGAGGGAGUUGAUCGUCGGGGCGGAGAGAACUUCUCACAGGAGAAAGAAGAUCGAGGCGGAUCGACCAUCAGUGCGGGUGGGCCUCUCUGUGCCAUCAAAGCUGGUAUGUUUCCCUUGCCUACACUCGCACGGCGAUUCGUUAGGUUAAACGCUGGUCAGGUUGGGGAAAGUGCACCUUGGCGCGGGGUUAGAGUUCACCGGCGGGGUGCGCCACCGUGCGGGCGCUGCGCCGCUGUUUGGUGACCUCCAUGGAGAAGGAUAGGUCUGUUGCCGUAGAUCCAAAAUUGGACAUUUAGGAUCACGUACGGUGUACCGGUUCGAGGGUCUUCAUCUGGGUCGUCCAUUUUUGCUUGUAGGGUAGUGAUUGGAUCUGGGGUAUUUUAAAACCGCCACCGUUGGAUGAUCGAUUGGUGGCCAGGAUUAGAUCGUGUUUUCAUAAAACUCGAACCGUAAGAUUUAGACCUAAGGGUCAAAGACUCGCAUCCCUUUGCGAUUUAAUCUGGACGCUCGGUGUGGAUCCAACAGUCCAUGAUCGCCGAUACUGAUACCCUUUCGGCUAUGAAACUUUAUAAAAGAACCCCUAGCGUUUGUACUUAUCAACCCGCAGUCUAGGUUACUGAUAAGAUCAUUACGCCGAGGCCCUGAAUUUUGCAAAAUAAACCAUAAACUUCUCAAAAAUAAUGCGCGCAGUUCAGAAACCUAAUAAAUUAGGUAAAUUAAUAUAGAAAAUGUUUUUAUUAUAAAAAUAAUUCCAAAAUCUUGUUUAAUUCAUAGAAAAUCCAUUUUAACUCCUUUUUAUCCAUUCCAGUUGCAUUAAUUUUAUAUCAAUAUUGUCAAUCACCUGGUAACUCUGUUUUAUCAUGAAACAUAGAUUAAAAUUAUCCACGUAAUUUAUUCCAUAUGAACCACUUAAAACUUCGGAAAAUCAUAACUCUUUAACCGUAACUCUGAAUUUAGUGAUUCUCGAACCUACGAUCUCGUUAUGAUGCGUAGAAUAUAAUUAUGUAGUAUGUUCUCAUGUUUAGUGCGAUGUUAAUUUCUCAUGUACCAUGUUUGUUUGUAUUGUUGCGAGUAGAUGAGCAGGCAACUGAGGACCCAGGUGCUCAGCAGGUGGAAAAUACUGAGCAGGAGCUCGUUGAAGGCAAGUUGUGCCCUUGAUCACUUCUAUUUACCCAAUAAUGUUCCUCUUAAUCAUUAUGAUCUGCAUAUGUUAAUUUUGAUGGGACCCAAUAGGUCACCCCACUUUGGCUAUCUUUAUACCUUGUUCACCACUGAACUUUUGGGUAGUACCUGCUAUUUCUUUAUGUGGUUUUGGGUGUUAAGAUAGACAUUAUUCAUGAUCAUGAUUCUAUUACCAAUGUGUUAUUUACUGUUCAUGACAAGAUCAUUAUGUUAAUUGGAACGUGGAGCGACCACCCGGGAAAGCAGUGCUACCACAAGGGUGGUAUGGGACGCUCUUGGCUGACUAAUUAGGAAAGCUAGUGGAGGACAACGUUACCUGAAAGGGCAAGGGAAGUAGACGAGUGGUCGGUAUAGGGAGGUUCUCGGGUUGAUUUUGUUGCGAUGGCUUUUUAGAUGGGAGAUUCCUGUACUGCGCUCCCUAGAAACUAUAGCUGGUUUUCUGAAGCUAGUGGAACUUUGUAAAGGCCUCACAGUGUUACCCUGCCUCGCUUCCUUGGUAAAGGUGUAUGGGGUCCGAUCAACCCCGUGGCAAAUGGGUAACAAGACUUGUGGGUAAAGAUGCGCAACCUCUGCAGAGUGUAAAACUGGUAUAUCAGCUGUGCUCACAGUCCUGAGCGGCUCGAACCCUCAUAUGAGUAAUUUAUGGAAUUAAAUUUAAUUGGUCAUUUGCAUCGCAUUGUGGUUUAUUUAUUAAUUGUGAUCUCUCAUUAUUUGGGAUGGUAUUUACUUAUACUUAGUAAUUGCUAAUAAAAUUUGACCAACUUAUUAAAAGCAAUGCUCAGCUUUAACCAUUAUUUGUUGAUCAGCCUUACACUUCACAUGAGCUCCCACCUUUGGUGAGUUCAUGCACAUUAUUCCCCACAACUUGUUGAGCUAUGAUCUUUUUCGAGCUCACCCUUGCGAUAUAUAACCCUCCACAGGAGAAGAACAAGUAGCCCAGGAGGAGGUCUACUACGAGGAGUACGAGCUUGUCUAGGUGGCGUCUCCCAGUCAGCUUGAUGGCGCCAAGGAAUAAUUAUUAGUUCGACUUAUUGUUCUCAUUUAUUUAUGUAAGACUGUUCCGUUAUGUAAUAAUGAUUGUGACAUUUAUCUCUAUACACUUGGUCAUUAUAUGUGUUGUUCUUCUUUGGCGCACAUAUGAGACGCACCAGGCUUUAUCCCUUAAACUCGGGUGUCACAGAAGUGGUAUC
RNAcentral lists this long non-coding RNA (2683 nucleotides) under Zea mays. RNAcentral describes it as "long non-coding RNA (ZMAY_LNC001714)". Lineage: Eukaryota; Viridiplantae; Streptophyta; Magnoliopsida; Poales; Poaceae. The record is from RNAcentral.